This 2929-nucleotide ribosomal RNA is filed under the name Salmonella enterica subsp. enterica serovar Mbandaka. RNAcentral describes it as "bacterial LSU rRNA". It matches the Rfam family "Bacterial large subunit ribosomal RNA". Lineage: Bacteria; Pseudomonadati; Pseudomonadota; Gammaproteobacteria; Enterobacterales; Enterobacteriaceae. The record is from RNAcentral.
GGGUUGUGAGGUUAAGCGACUAAGCGUACACGGUGGAUGCCCUGGCAGUCAGAGGCGAUGAAGGGCGUGCUAAUCUGCGAUAAGCGCCGGUAAGGUGAUAUGAACCGUUAUAACCGGCGAUACCCGAAUGGGGAAACCCAGUGUGAUUCGUCACACUAUCAUUAACUGAAUCCAUAGGUUAAUGAGGCGAACCGGGGGAACUGAAACAUCUAAGUACCCCGAGGAAAAGAAAUCAACCGAGAUUCCCCCAGUAGCGGCGAGCGAACGGGGAGGAGCCCAGAGCCUGAAUCAGCAUGUGUGUUAGUGGAAGCGUCUGGAAAGGCGCGCGAUACAGGGUGACAGCCCCGUACACAAAAGCGCAUGUGCUGUGAGCUCGAUGAGUAGGGCGGGACACGUGGUAUCCUGUCUGAAUAUGGGGGGACCAUCCUCCAAGGCUAAAUACUCCUGACUGACCGAUAGUGAACCAGUACCGUGAGGGAAAGGCGAAAAGAACCCCGGCGAGGGGAGUGAAAAAGAACCUGAAACCGUGUACGUACAAGCAGUGGGAGCACAGGUUUACCUGUGUGACUGCGUACCUUUUGUAUAAUGGGUCAGCGACUUAUAUUCUGUAGCAAGGUUAACCGAAUAGGGGAGCCGGAGGGAAACCGAGUCUUAACUGGGCGUUAAGUUGCAGGGUAUAGACCCGAAACCCGGUGAUCUAGCCAUGGGCAGGUUGAAGGUUGGGUAACACUAACUGGAGGACCGAACCGACUAAUGUUGAAAAAUUAGCGGAUGACCUGUGGCUGGGGGUGAAAGGCCAAUCAAACCGGGAGAUAGCUGGUUCUCCCCGAAAGCUAUUUAGGUAGCGCCUCGUGAAUUCAUCUCCGGGGGUAGAGCACUGUUUCGGCUAGGGGGCCAUCCCGGCUUACCAACCCGAUGCAAACUGCGAAUACCGGAGAAUGUUAUCACGGGAGACACACGGCGGGUGCUAACGUCCGUCGUGAAGAGGGAAACAACCCAGACCGCCAGCUAAGGUCCCAAAGUCAUGGUUAAGUGGGAAACGAUGUGGGAAGGCCCAGACAGCCAGGAUGUUGGCUUAGAAGCAGCCAUCAUUUAAAGAAAGCGUAAUAGCUCACUGGUCGAGUCGGCCUGCGCGGAAGAUGUAACGGGGCUAAACCAUGCACCGAAGCUGCGGCAGCGACGCUGAUGCGUUGUUGGGUAGGGGAGCGUUCUGUAAGCCUGUGAAGGUGGCCUGUGAGGGUUGCUGGAGGUAUCAGAAGUGCGAAUGCUGACAUAAGUAACGAUAAAGCGGGUGAAAAGCCCGCUCGCCGGAAGACCAAGGGUUCCUGUCCAACGUUAAUCGGGGCAGGGUGAGUCGACCCCUAAGGCGAGGCCGAAAGGCGUAGUCGAUGGGAAACGGGUUAAUAUUCCCGUACUUGGUGUUACUGCGAAGGGGGGACGGAGAAGGCUAUGUUGGCCGGGCGACGGUUGUCCCGGUUUAAGCGUGUAGGUGUGUGUUCCAGGUAAAUCCGGUUCACUUUAACACUGAGGCGUGACGACGAGGCACUACGGUGCUGAAGCAACAAAUGCCCUGCUUCCAGGAAAAGCCUCUAAGCAUCAGGUAACAUCAAAUCGUACCCCAAACCGACACAGGUGGUCAGGUAGAGAAUACCAAGGCGCUUGAGAGAACUCGGGUGAAGGAACUAGGCAAAAUGGUGCCGUAACUUCGGGAGAAGGCACGCUGACACGUAGGUGAAGUGAUUUACUCAUGGAGCUGAAGUCAGUCGAAGAUACCAGCUGGCUGCAACUGUUUAUUAAAAACACAGCACUGUGCAAACACGAAAGUGGACGUAUACGGUGUGACGCCUGCCCGGUGCCGGAAGGUUAAUUGAUGGGGUCAGCGCAAGCGAAGCUCCUGAUCGAAGCCCCGGUAAACGGCGGCCGUAACUAUAACGGUCCUAAGGUAGCGAAAUUCCUUGUCGGGUAAGUUCCGACCUGCACGAAUGGCGUAAUGAUGGCCAGGCUGUCUCCACCCGAGACUCAGUGAAAUUGAACUCGCUGUGAAGAUGCAGUGUACCCGCGGCAAGACGGAAAGACCCCGUGAACCUUUACUAUAGCUUGACACUGAACAUUGAGCCUUGAUGUGUAGGAUAGGUGGGAGGCUUUGAAGUGUGGACGCCAGUCUGCAUGGAGCCGACCUUGAAAUACCACCCUUUAAUGUUUGAUGUUCUAACGUGGACCCGUAAUCCGGGUUGCGGACAGUGUCUGGUGGGUAGUUUGACUGGGGCGGUCUCCUCCUAAAGAGUAACGGAGGAGCACGAAGGUUGGCUAAUCCUGGUCGGACAUCAGGAGGUUAGUGCAAUGGCAUAAGCCAGCUUGACUGCGAGCGUGACGGCGCGAGCAGGUGCGAAAGCAGGUCAUAGUGAUCCGGUGGUUCUGAAUGGAAGGGCCAUCGCUCAACGGAUAAAAGGUACUCCGGGGAUAACAGGCUGAUACCGCCCAAGAGUUCAUAUCGACGGCGGUGUUUGGCACCUCGAUGUCGGCUCAUCACAUCCUGGGGCUGAAGUAGGUCCCAAGGGUAUGGCUGUUCGCCAUUUAAAGUGGUACGCGAGCUGGGUUUAGAACGUCGUGAGACAGUUCGGUCCCUAUCUGCCGUGGGCGCUGGAGAACUGAGGGGGGCUGCUCCUAGUACGAGAGGACCGGAGUGGACGCAUCACUGGUGUUCGGGUUGUCAUGCCAAUGGCACUGCCCGGUAGCUAAAUGCGGAAGAGAUAAGUGCUGAAAGCAUCUAAGCACGAAACUUGCCCCGAGAUGAGUUCUCCCUGAGACUUAGAGUCUCCUGAAGGAACGUUGAAGACGACGACGUUGAUAGGCCGGGUGUGUAAGCGCAGCGAUGCGUUGAGCUAACCGGUACUAAUGAACCGUGAGGCUUAACCUUACAACGCCGAAG